UUUGCUUCUUGCUGACACACACACGACACCACGUGUCGUGUGUGUGUCAGCAAGAAGCAAAGGAAAGGUGUAGGAGACGAUAGU
This is a small nucleolar RNA of Tachysurus vachellii, 84 nucleotides long. RefSeq annotates it as small nucleolar RNA SNORA17. The transcript has a single exon. Lineage: Eukaryota; Metazoa; Chordata; Actinopteri; Siluriformes; Bagridae. The record is from RefSeq and is a predicted model, not a curated record.